Molecule: unclassified non-coding RNA, 859 nt
Filed under: Hevea brasiliensis (rubber tree)
Lineage: Eukaryota; Viridiplantae; Streptophyta; Magnoliopsida; Malpighiales; Euphorbiaceae
Source: RNAcentral
AAAAACCUUUUAAUAUCUUUACAAUUUUAUCCUCUUCUCUUCUUUACAUGCCUACAUCACAUUGUCCUUGCAGCUUCCAAAAAUAAAACAGAUUUCGAAAUUCCAAAGUUGUUGCCACAAUGAAGAUAGAAAACAAACAAAAAAGUCUAAUGUCGAUAGUAGCAUCUUAGUUAAGCAAACAGAAUGAUGUAUUCGGAUAACCUUUCCGGUUCAGGAAACUCACACUACACUAAAUGCAGACUGUAUGGUAGAUGAGAAAUGAGAAGCAAUAGUCUGGGAGGCAAAUGCUUGAAUCUGCUUCUUGGCAUCUUUGCGACAUUUGGUGAACCCAAUAAUGUUUGCAAUGCUGAGGCUCAAACAAACUCCCACUACCAGGACAUAAUCAACCUCGAACCUUAUAAUUGAAAAUAUUCCAAGUACGAUCCAAGCAGCUGCAGUAAGGUAUAAUGUCCACCAAAAUAGCCAUGAAUCCUUCUUAUUCAUACGAGCCAACGACUGUUGAUCAAGACAUUCAAACUUCCAUACACUCUCACCCUCCUCAUUUAUCUCAUUCCACCACCUAAGCCCAACUAGGAUCCGGCCGCUCACAUUCUUCACCACCCAAAAAUCAAGGGCAGCAAGAACAACGGUUACCACAAAGAUAAUAACAAAGUUAUUAAAAAACAGAGCUGAGAGUAUGUAGAAUGCCAGAGCUGCAGCCUUGAAGAGCACAUGAAAGAAGCAUGUCUUUGGAUUGGCAUAGUUUUCGCCUGCAGGCUGGCUAAAAUCCAUGGAGAAGAGAUUUAUGAAAAAGAUUCCUAAGUCUCGCAGAUGUUUGGCGAGUUGAGCUAUAGGAUCAUUUGAGCUUCGCGAUUUCCAC